UACAUCCCUCUAGAGGAGCCUGUUCUGUAAUCGAUAAACCCCGAUAAACCUCACCAACUCUUGCUAAUACAGCCUAUAUACCGCCAUCUUCAGCAAACCCUAAAAAGGAAACAAAGUAAGCAAAAACAUAAAACAUAAAAACGUUAGGUCAAGGUGUAGCCUAUGAGUUGGAAAGAAAUGGGCUACAUUUUCUAGCAUAGAACACCAACGAAAAUUUUCGUGAAAUCGAAAAUAGAAGGAGGAUUUAGUAGUAANUUAAGAANAGAGAGCUU
RNAcentral lists this ribosomal RNA (272 nucleotides) under Pteropus scapulatus (little red flying fox). RNAcentral describes it as "partial 12S ribosomal RNA". The record is from RNAcentral. Lineage: Eukaryota; Metazoa; Chordata; Mammalia; Chiroptera; Pteropodidae.